AAUAACAAAUAUGCCUUCUCCACCAAAUUGGGAAUUAAGACAUGAACCAAUUCUUCAUACACCAACUCACAUGUCAGAGACUGAAAAAAAUCCAUAAUUCGUUACUUUGAGAUGAAACUUUAUAUACAAAUGGAUUACAACAUAAUUGACACAGCAGAAAAAUUACAAAAAUAACUGUCAUAACUAACUGAAUAGAAUAGAAAUCAAGUUGGGGAGUCUAAUAGUUUGCNNNNNNAAAGAUGCAAGUUAUUAUUUUGAUUGUAUUUCUCUAAUUUUGUUCAACUUUCCCCUACUCUUAUUCUCAUUCUCAAUAUCAAAUUACUUCUGUCAUCAAAAUGAACUGAAGGGUUUAAAGUUCCUAUAGUUCCAAAGUUGAAGAGAUCUCAACAAUCUGAUUCACAUUACCAACCUUCAAGGAAUACUCUUGUUCAAAAAAAGCCUUCAAGGAAUACUCAUUAAAGGAGUCAAAACAUGUUCCCAUCCUAGAAUCCUGCAAAACAACAGACACAUAGUAAUAAAUUUGGUAAGAAUUCAUAUUCAUCUCUUUUAAAUGUUGGAAUUAUUCUAUUAGAGAAAAUGAUAUUUAUGAAACCAUAAGUAUGGUUUUAUGGUUUCAGAAAGUUAUACACUGAAACCAUUUACCAAGAGUAAUGGUUUCAAUGUAUAAACUACUGAAAUCAUUUUCAAAAUCAAAUUAGAAUCAAUACAAGCUAAAUCAAAAUCAAAAUCAUUCAACAUCAGAAUGAAAACAACAUUAUGCAUAUCAGAAUCAAAAUUAAAAUCAAGAUCAAAAGCAAAAUCAAAAUCAACUUAGAAUAGCAUAUCAGAAUCAAAGUAUUCAAUAAAGAUGUGGCUAUCAAAGUAUUUAAGAAUGGUAGUAUAAAUGAAAAUAUGCAGAGGGAGUUUUCUCAGGAAAUAUUUAUCAUGAGGUUUGUUCUAUCACAACGUUCACUCCUCCCCGCUCAUUCUAAGAAAUUUGAAUAUUAAAGUGAUGUUUCAUUUUCAGUUCUUAGUUUCCAACAUUCUUAUCUCAAAAUGUAACCAUGUUUUUUCUAUUGGUUAAUUGUAGAGGCAAUGAGAAUCACAUGUUUCUAUCUGCUGCAUUUUGUUAUUCUUGUUUUACUUGGUGUUUCUCUAGUGCAAGCAGAAGAUGCAUACANNNNNNNNNAACACCAGCCAAAGAUCACAAAUACGACAAGAAAGGCAAGGCAUAAACAAACUAUGAGUAUUAUCAUUUAAUAUUUUUGAUAUCUUUUUGAAUCAUUAUAUAUCUUGUGUGAACUUGGUUAUUGUUUCCAUUGAAAAAGUAACACAAUUAAGAGUAUGAACUUGUAACAAUGCCUAAUAUACUUCUUAAGAUUCUUCCACAAAAUAAAAAAAUUCUAGGUAAUUUCAUCAGAUUGCAUACCGGCAAUAUACAUUCCCAAAUCCUAAAUAUCCAUUCACAAUGGGCUUAUAUGAGAAAGCCAAACAUAAAUAAGUUAAAUGGGUCGGGUCAGAAUUUAAUUGUUUUCUUCUUCUUCCUCAACCUAAUAGUAACAGGUGCAGCAGAUCACGACCACCACCACCACCGAAAAACCAUAAACUCAGAACAACAAAUCAAGGGUAAAAAUAUAGCUCUAAUUCCCAAAUAAACUCAGAACAACAAAUAUAAACUCAGAACAACAAAUCGUGUCUCACAGAGUCAAUCCAAACCAAAAUAAAACCUAAUUCCUAAAAUAAAAGUAAAAAUAUAGUUCUAACCUGUUUUCUUUUCACCAUUUUGUGUUUGGUUCGUUCAAAUGUUGGCGACGGUGAAGAUGAUGAAAUGAUGUUGAUGAUGAACGGUGUUGUGAUUGGGAGAUGGUUGGAACCACUUUAUGUUAGAAUUGACUUUCAAACCAGAUUAAAUUAGUGGUAAAAGAAAAUAAAAAAUGAAAAACGUUGUGGUAUGUAAAGAUGUGACUAUUGAGUUGUGCAUAAGUUCACCUUUUGCGUGCAACCAUAUGUACUAGAAAGCUAAUAGUAAAUAUUUUGUUAUUCUUUUGAUAGUUGAUCGGAACUUUGCUUCUUUGCGGGUAGUAUGUAGUAAGAGUAAAGUGUUUUAUAAUGAAAUAGUAAUUAUUAUUGAUCUUAACUGUUGAUCAGAACAGGUAGAAGACCAGCUGGAAGUCCGUUGAGCAGGUGAUAGGCAGCAGGUCCGAGCAGAUGAUCCACGGAGGGGGGGUUGUACCUGCAGGUGCUCCGAUGCCUAAGUCAGUAAAGGUAGAGAGCAAAAGAGAUACUAGAGAGAAGUUAG
Molecule: long non-coding RNA, 2278 nt
Filed under: Trifolium pratense (red clover)
Lineage: Eukaryota; Viridiplantae; Streptophyta; Magnoliopsida; Fabales; Fabaceae
Description: long non-coding RNA (TPRA_LNC002292)
Source: RNAcentral